UUUACUGUACCCGUAAACAAUUUAUCUCGAGUAGUACAUAAUAUAGAUAAAGAAGAAUUACACCAAGUUACAGAUAUGAGUGCUGGUACAAUGUCGAAUCAAAUUAUAUUAUCAUUAGAGAAAGAAGCUGGUAUCAUUAAAAAUGAGUCAUCUGAAAAUAAUUCUAUGAAUAUUAUAAUACCUGUAAAUUUUAAUCCAACUUCUUCUACAAUUACUUCCAAUACAAUAGUUAAUGUUACAAUACAAGAUAAUAGCACAUUUAAACAUAUUAUAAAUGAGAAUAGAGAAUCUAGUUUAUUACAAAGUGAAAAUAGUAACGUAGAAAAUCAAAUUUUAAACACAAAUGAAAAAUUAGAAAAAAAUAAUUGCUUAUUAGAUUCUAUGUAUAAAAUAAUAAGAGAUCAUUCAAUGGGUGAAGUUGAAAAACAAACUAAUAUUCAAUUUAACAGUAGCAACGAUAAUAUAAAGAAAUCUGUGCAUCAGAAAACGAACGAUACAUUAAGUCCUUAUACAACGUAUUGUAAUGAUGAUUUAAAAGAAAAAGAAACUGCACAUAAUCAUCAAACUCUAACUUCAUUAAUAUCAUCUUUCGUGUAUGCAGAUAUGAUAGAAGAUGAUUCAUUUGUAAAAACGACAUAUAAAGUCCAGCAAGAAACGCAAUCUAGUGAAAAUGUUAUGGACGUGAAGUCAGUAAUUGAUAUGGUUAAUGUACAAGCAACAUGUAUUCAAUGUCCUGAAAUAUGUAUCACCAACGAUGAACAGAUAGUGCAACAAUCUGAAAAUGAUCUUGAAUGUUAUUUCGAAAAUAAUAAUAUUCAAGUAGGUAAUGUUAUGAUUAACAAAGAAAAGAAUAAUCAACACGAUUCAGAUAAAAUUCCAAAUAAAAUAAUUGAAAUUCAUGAAAAUGUUUUUGAAAAUAAACUUAACAAUGGAAGACUUACUAAUACUUCUAUAGAACUAGAAGUUAUUCAAAGAGAUAAACAAUUAGAUAAAAAAGACAAUAUUGAGAAUGAUUCAGCUGCAUGUAUAAUAAAGUCUAAGAAAAAUUCAGCUAUGGAUAUAAAUGAAUGUGCUAAUACUCAUAGUAGCAACAAUCAGAUUCUUGGCAGAUCAUGUGUUUUUUCACCGACAUUAAUUUCUGCUUACAAUCAAAAUAAAACGUGUAUUGGAGAAAAUAAUAUUACUCCAAUAGCUGGCACGACAGACUUAACAUGCAACAUGAAUAUAACACAAAAUAAUGAGAAAUUUUUGAAAGAAGAAGUUGCAUUGGAGAAAAACACUAGAGAAAAUUCCAGUCUUCAGGAGGAUAAAUUUUCUUUGCUAAUAAGUAAAUUAAAGAAUCAUAUGCUUAGUGACGAUUGCAUAUGGAAUUUAUAUUAUGAGAAUAUAGAUAAACAAAUGAUAGUAGUUGGUUUUAUUUCUACAUCUUUACUGAUAAUAAUAAAAACUCAGAAUGAAGUCAACACUGACACGUGUAGGAUCAAAGAUGUUAAUGUAAUUUCACGAUUAGAAAAUGAUGAAAAUUUGUUGUUAAGUAUUGCACACAAAUUACUAAAGGAGAAAAUAAAUUUAGAAUAUAUUCGUCAAUCAUAUAUAUAUGAAGAAGACAUUAUUCCCUUGUUAAAUCAUAUUUCAGAAGAUGUGAAAUUCAUAUUAGAUUUUAUAUUUGAUUUACAAAAAUUGGAUGAUACAAAUUUAAUGGAAAUAAGUACAGAAAGCAUAACAUUUAUAUUAAGAAGUAAAUGCAUGGAAAUUAUAUUGAAAAUUACAAUGGAUAUUAAAUUAUUUGAUAAAAUAAAUUCAUCACACAUCAAGAUCGUUUCUAUUUUGGGUACUGUAAUAGAGGAAGAAAUUCAAGAGUUACUUUUAAAUGUGAAAAGAGAUUAUAAAUUUUUAAGGAGAUACAUGUCUGACAUUAAGGAUUAUAUUGAUAUAAUAGAACAAGUUAAUUUUGCAAAAGAAAUGCAAAAUGAAUUACAAAAAGAAACAAAAAGAAAAGGAAAUUAUAAAUGAUUGAAGUGUGAAAUAUUUAUAGAUGGAUCGAACUAAUGUACAGAUGUAAAAGAUUUAAAUAUUUAACUAUAUGUGGAAAAUAAUUGUAUUGAUAUUAUGUAGAAUGUGAUAUAAAACAUAUUUUUAUAAAAUUUUUUUAUAAUUAUAUUGUAAUUAUAUUAAGAGAAAGUUACUAACGAAGAAAAUUCGUUGGGAAUUUUUAAUAUUUUAUAUGUAAAAAGAGCAGGUAUAUACAUACAAACAGGUUGAUCGACUAGCUUCGAUGAAGCCGGUUCGAACUAUGCAGGUUUUUGUUAAUGCACUUGCAGUUCUUUGGGUAGUAGCGUGUGAACAACUGGCUUCCCAUAGAAUCAUUCGAGUUUCCGUUUAAUUCUUAAGAAAUAAUUAUCAUCGAUACACGUAUGAUUAGAAUUACCGAGAAUGUGCAAUCAAAAAGUUCUUCAUUUCUUUAUAUUAUUGACAAUUAAUUUCAUGACAAUAAAUAUAUAAUCUGAUAAGGAAUUCAAAAUUAUAUUCCAUUUUAUAGAAUCGAAACAACAAUCUCACGUCCAUACGUUUAUUAUAAACAAAAAAAAAAUGAAGAAUUUCGAAAAGCAAAAUAUUAUUCAACGAAAAGACUAUGAAACAUCCGAGGUACUUUCAAAGCGAUAGUGAAACUGUUGAAGCAUGAAAGGUAAGAAUAACUGCAACAAUAUUGCGUUGGUUUUACUCCCACGUGUUCUACGAACGUGUAAGUAAUACCUCAUAGGAAGGUUAAACAUGAAUAAUGAAAGUUACAUUUCUUGUUUUUUUAAAUAAAUUCAAAAUUUAAUUUAUAUCAAAUUACGCGUAUUAAAUAAUCAUUAUCGCAAAUAGAAUAUAUGUAUAUUUAAUAGUUCAUCUAUGCAUGUAUCAAUGUAAAUAUAGAAAUAUUAGUUAAAA
Molecule: unclassified non-coding RNA, 2934 nt
Filed under: Polistes canadensis
Lineage: Eukaryota; Metazoa; Arthropoda; Insecta; Hymenoptera; Vespidae
Description: uncharacterized LOC106788403, transcript variant X1
Source: RNAcentral